Molecule: transfer RNA, 67 nt
Filed under: Birgus latro
Lineage: Eukaryota; Metazoa; Arthropoda; Malacostraca; Decapoda; Coenobitidae
Description: tRNA-His
Rfam family: tRNA
About the family: Transfer RNA (tRNA) molecules are approximately 80 nucleotides in length. Their secondary structure includes four short double-helical elements and three loops (D, anti-codon, and T loops). Further hydrogen bonds mediate the characteristic L-shaped molecular structure. tRNAs have two regions of fundamental functional importance: the anti-codon, which is responsible for specific mRNA codon recognition, and the 3' end, to which the tRNAs corresponding amino acid is attached (by aminoacyl-tRNA synthetases). tRNAs cope with the degeneracy of the genetic code in two manners: having more than one tRNA (with a specific anti-codon) for a particular amino acid; and 'wobble' base-pairing, i.e. permitting non-standard base-pairing at the 3rd anti-codon position.
Source: RNAcentral
GUUUGGGUAGUUUAUCAUUAAAACGUUAGUUUGUGGUGCUAAAGAAAUAAAAGAUUUAUUCUAAACC